CACAUAGCUGAUUAAAAAGUUUAAUUAAAGAUAUAAGUGGAGGAAUCGGAGAUGUUGUUGCGUGAAACACAUACUCUGUGGUAAUGCUGCAGAGCGGCAAUAACCAUUGUGAGCAAGCUCCGGUUUACGACUUACUACAGAACUGAGCGGGAUGAGGGUAAAUCCGGAUCUGGACUCCUUUCCCACCAUCAGCAGAAGAACCGAAGGAGAAGAAGCGCCAACCAACAACCAGAACAGGGUGGAAGCUCUGACACCACAGCAGCUGGAGGACACAGACCACAGCAUGGACGCCUCACAGACUCCCACAACGUCUGCAGCCAUCACGUUCUGGGCUCCUCAGAUGAACCAGCUACUACAAGCAUGUGUGUCUGACACAGACACCUGCUUAUGACAAUCAGCAAAGGAAAACAAGGACAGAGCAACAGCAGAGAAGACGUGCUCUAACACAGACACUGGUUGAAACAACAGGAGAGGCUUCAGACGUGAUCGGCCCAAAAGAGCUGCAUCUGAGGAUCCAGGAAAGGUCUGUCAUCGAGGAACAACUGUCCCAUUGAAAGGCUUCACCCGCUGGCGCUCACAUCAGACUGAUGGUUGGGGAAGGAGGAAGGUGGCGGUUCCUUUUCACGUGAUGUACAAGACGGUACCGCAAACACACACACACAUUCAUACACGCAAUGAAGAAACACGCUUACAGCUGAUACACGCUCAAAUUCAUGUUCAUGCUUAUCUGCUUGCAAUGAAGAAUAGCUUUUUGCUCAAAAAAAUCCCACAGAGUGAUUUUAAAAUGAUGACAAACAGCUAAAUGACAACUGCUGCAUGACUUUACAGUCUGAUGGGUUUAAACUAUUUUAACUUGCAACAAAUUCAGUAAUAAAAUCCUUCAUGUUUCUAAAAAUACUUGUGCACAAUAUAGGUUUGUCUGGCCAGAAUAUAGAAAAACAAAAACAGACUGUAGAAAAAACAAAAAAACAGACUAUAGGAAAACAAAACAAAAACAAAACCAGACCAUAGGAAGACUGAAACCGACUGAAACAGACUAUUAAUGACUAUUAAAGGGAAGACGACUAUUAGAGAGAAGUAAUAAUAAUGACUGUACGUACCAGACUAUUAAAGAAAAACUUCUUCUUUCACUGUCUUGUGCAACAUCUGACAGCAAGACACCGUAACAUUCAUUUUUGCUUUCAACCUUAUGCCCAGUCAAAUUUUUAGGAAGACAUCUGAUGUGUAGUUUAGGUAUUUGAUUGAUUUCCACUCCAGACGGAGUGCAGGUUACAUCUACAGACAUUCUAAAUAAUCCCUCUUUUGUUGGUGUUAACUUCAGCUCAGCUGUGCUCUUAUCAUUGGCUGCUGAGGGGGGGCUGUAACUGAGGCCCUCACACAGGCUGCAUCACAGCUUGUUUAUGAUUUCACACACACACUCAAACUGACCUCAACUUCAUUCUUUUGGGAUGAACACAGGUCUGCGCUUGCGAUUUCUUUUACUAACGAACAAAAAAGAUUUUUAUUUUUUAUUCUACAGUUCCACACGUCCCUCUGUGAAAACAUGAUGGAGACAGAUGCAGGACGUGGGUCCUUUCGUGAACAGAUGUGAACGGGGUGGAGACUGGUGAACGACUUCCGACCCCAUGUGACGUAUUCACCUACUUUGCAUACUUUAAAAAAAAAAAAAAACCAACUUUUUUUUAUUCUGCCUGUCAUGCACAACAAACAGUGAACCUCCACAUUCUAAUGACACACUACAUGUUUUUAUUUUCAUUUUUCAGAGGACGCUCUGACCCAACACUCAGCCUUACAGGAAGCCCUGUUUCCCUGUGACUCACACACAGACAUGAUGUAGGUUUAAUCAGAGGAGGUGAACCAGUGGUCAUCACACCUAAAUCUGACCACAGACCAUGUGAACAACAACAAACACCCUCUUAAAAGAAGCCAUAGAUGGCGUUACUGCAGACACCACUAAGCUACUAAAUCAUUGGAUGCUACAGGCCACAAAGAGAGCCUGUCUAAAUUACACUUUGUUCAGACAAAGGUUAUUUUCUGGGUCAUUGUAAUUACAGCUGAUGGCAAAUCCAUCUCACCCAACAGAGUUGAAGCAAUUUGAAACCUGCCUAAACUGUGCACGUAUAAACAGCUUAUCUUUUCUAGGUUUUCGUUCUUAUCGUAGGAACUUCAUUCUUAACUUUAAUGUCUUUGAGGCCCACUCAGGGUUCUGAUGCAGACGUCUUCAUCGUCCACUUCUUGUCUCACGUGGACGUCUGAGGCUGAACAACGUUCACUGACCUCAUGCUUGCUCUUCAGGCUCCUACCUUGGGUCUUCCUGAUCUGACCCUAUGCGACCUUUCACUCAAACUUGGAUGAGAAAUCAGGUUGUACGACUUCUGUUCUUUUGUCCUCAUACUGUCUUUGAUUCUUUUGGAAUAGAUCACAUCUUUCUACAGCCCGAUGGCUUAGAUGCAACACCACUUUGCUCAACAUGCUGAAAAUUACUAUCAAGAGGCCGUCUUGAAGUCUGGCUCUUUGCUAAGACACUACUCUGCUCAGGCUGCAGAGUUGAUCGCGUUGACUGAAGCUAGUAAACUAGCAGAAGGAGAGACUGUUACCAUCUACAGACUCCACAGAUGCUUGUCACACGUUGGUUCUCUGUGGAAGCAUAGGAAGCUUUUUUGAAGUCUGAUUGCAAACCUAUCUUACAUCAUGAUAAGGUUCUGCUUUGCUGGACGCUGUCCUGCUACAGUACCUACAGCUAAUGCUGUUUGUAACUGUCCCACUCACAACAUCAGUGACGACUUUGUUUCUGCCGACAUGCAGCUGCAGACGCUGCUGCGAAGGUCGCUGCCCAACAACCCCUCCCUCUCCUGAUCCUCGUUUCCUCUCCUCAUCCUUGUUCCCUCUCCAACUCUCUCUAUCCUUUCCUUCCUCUCUCCCUGUGCUUUAAACAUUUUCUACCUCGCAGGAACGCAGACUCUGGCUGACGAAUGGUUCCACCUGUAGCCAUGGAGUCUGGUUUGGGCCUGAUGACACGCCGUGCCGCCCAAACACCUUUUUCCCCAUAAUUCAGAUUUCCCAACAGGUGAAAGCAGGCGACAGGACCAUUACACCAUCCAACCAGGGCACUGGGUGAUCGUUAAGGAGUUCAGGAGGAAGCACUGGAACUCCAAACGGUGGCGAGGCCACUUCCAGGUCCUUCUGACGACCCACACGGCUGUAAAGAUCGCAGAGAGAGCGACUUGGAUCCACUCCACUGCAAGAAGGUCCCGGAUCCAACAGACGACCCUCCAUCUACAUCUACACCACACAAGAAAACCACCACUGACGAAAAGAAUUGAGAAGAACGACCCUCGCUGUGCUCACACACGCACUGAGGCGAGGCUGCGUUGACCGUUCAGCUAAAGGUGUGAGCCAAGCGCCGCCUGAAGCUGCGCCGAUGAAUCACACUAUCAGACCAUACAUCUACACACACGUUCCUGAGAAAACACACACACGAGCAGCCUUGAGUUGCCGACGCUGGACGACGUGUAGACUCUUCACAUCACGGGAGUGACAGUGACUCAGACGACAUUGGGAGGAAACCUGGCGGUGAUAACGAACCCCAAGUGUCUCUGUGAUCAGCUGAUCACAACCUGAAGAACCCCAACGAACAAUCAAUACUUCAACACACAGGUUGGAAACAAUCUAACGCUACUGUUCAACAGGACGAAGCAGAUUGUUACAAGACAUCAAUUGUAACCUCGUUGCGUUAGACAUUUUAUGUUACUCUGAUUAUUGCCUUGAUCAUAUGAUGUUUUCAUGUAACUUUGCACACUACUUUUGAAUGAGGAAAUUUCACAUAAUUCACAACACUGAGUUUAAAUAUCCUAAAGUUGACUUGGUGUUUAAUUUGCUCACAAUCACUUUAUUCACUGCUACAAUUAGUUUUAUCCUUCAUCUACAGAUGAAAGACAACACAAGCGGAAAAACGCAUCAUCAUUCUGGUUAAAUCCCUGAAUCUCGUAUUCGCUCUAGGCCCAAAUGUACAAUUAAAGAUCCGAAAGCAUGAAAUCUAUCUGAAGAUUAUAUGAUACAGAACCCCACCGGAAACCUAUGGCUAUCAUACAUUAAUUGUCUUUAUUACAUUACAAUUGAAUGGCCGUAGACACGUUGUUAGCAGAGGAAAGAGACGUUUGUGUUAUGUUUGGAGAGGCAUGUUGUACUUACAUCCUGAAUAACACUGAUUCUAAUGGUAUUGUGGCGAAGGCGCUCCACAACCUUCAGAAUCUCAGCUAACUCUGGUAUAGGUUCUUUCCCUUGGAAAUUGGCUAGACGAAAUGUCUGGAAAAUGGAAAUCUGUCCUCAUGUCCACAGCUGUUUCCUUUAUCAUUGAGAUGGCUGUGAUUCUCUUGUUUGGUUUUUGCGUUAUCCCACUGGUUAAAGGUCUCAUCAUGCGUGCGACCUCAGCAACACUCUCGUAUCAAAUGACACAAUGAACUAUGUUCAAAAACCCCAACUCUAAUUCACGUAAUGACUUUGACGAUGGCUAUCUGAUCACAAAAUAUAAUCUGGUACAAAUAUUAUUAUGAGCUUAUUUUCUUCACAUGCUCAUACAGAGGUUAUUCUUGUUUAACUACCCACCAAAACAGCUCCCAACCUUUUAUCCCUAAGUUACUUGCAUUUUUAUGUGAAGGUGUAUUUUUGAAUUUUGACUUAAUACACUUACUGUUUCAUUUGUAAGGGUUGUUACUACAAAAUGCAAUGUUUGAAAAAAUUUAUUAUUUUAGUGUUUGAUUAAUGUGUAAUCAAAAGGGGGGAAUGUAAUGGAAAAAUUUUGCCUUGUGCUGUUUCUUAUCCAACACACUCGUCAUGUGCUGGUUAGGUGCAAUACUGAACAUUCUUACACAAACAAAUAAUCUCUUGUGCCCUGACGUACAUCAAGUCUAAACAUCUGAUGCUCCAUUUGACUGACUAAUAAUUUCUGAUAUAUGUUUGUCUUUUACACCCGGACUCUGGCUCCAUCCUAUCUGACUCCCCACCAGACCCAAGGCUGUUAAAGCAAAUGCAUCUUGUCUUGGAAGCUCGGUGUUCCUUCCUUUGGAUAACAAGACAUGACGAUGCAGAAGUGAGAAAGCAAACAUUCUCACUCACAGCGAGAUAAGGUGGCGCAAACAAUUCCAUUGCUGCAGAGAGACAUUCCACCAGAGCCAGAGAAAAGGGUUAAAAGGCAGAAGCAACUUGAGGAUCGUGGGCUCUUUGCAUCACACCUUCGUGGUGUGUGCACUGAUCUCCCCAGCUGGUUUUUGGUUUGUUGAUGUGCACGAUCAACAUCCAUGCUUUUUAUUUGCUUUCCCCACUAUUUUUAUUUUCUUUAUUAUUUCAAUAAAUUGCACAAAAGGACAACUCUC
Molecule: long non-coding RNA, 5372 nt
Organism: Betta splendens (Siamese fighting fish)
Lineage: Eukaryota; Metazoa; Chordata; Actinopteri; Anabantiformes; Osphronemidae
Exons: 2
Source: RefSeq, a predicted model, not a curated record